This 23-nucleotide non-coding RNA is filed under the name Cricetulus griseus (Chinese hamster). The record is from RNAcentral. Lineage: Eukaryota; Metazoa; Chordata; Mammalia; Rodentia; Cricetidae.
CAACUUGGUUAUUGUAAAAAAAG